GAUGAACGCUAGCUACAGGCUUAACACAUGCAAGUCGAGGGGAAACGACAUCGAAAGCUGCUUUUGGUGGGCGUCGACCGGCGCACGGGUGAGUAACGCGUAUCCAACCUGCCCACCACUUGGGGAUAACCUUGCGAAAGUAAGACUAAUACCCAAUGAUAUCCCACGAAGGCAUCCGAAUGGGAUUAAAGAUUUAUCGGUGAUGGGUGGGGAUGCGUCUGAUUAGCUUGUUGGCGGGGUAACGGCCCACCAAGGCAACGAUCAGUAGGGGUUCUGAGAGGAAGGUCCCCCACAUUGGAACUGAGACACGGUCCAAACUCCUACGGGAGGCAGCAGUGAGGAAUAUUGCACAAUGGGGGAAACCCUGAUGCAGCGAUGCCGCGUGGAGGAAGAAGGUUUUCGGAUUGUAAACUCCUGUCUUAAAGGAGAAGUCAGUGACGGUACUUUAGGAGGAAGCUCCGGCUAACUACGUG
This 473-nucleotide ribosomal RNA is filed under the name uncultured bacterium. Its description in RNAcentral is "bacterial SSU rRNA". It matches the Rfam family "Bacterial small subunit ribosomal RNA", at positions 28 to 507 of the family's 1533-position model. The record is from RNAcentral.